AAGCAGUGAGAUUGAGUGUUAGGCAAAUCCGGCACUCUUAAGAUUGAGCUGUGAUGGGGAGAGGAAAUUGUUUCCUCGAGUCGUUGAUUUCACACUGCCGAGAAAAGCCUCUAGAUAGAUAAUAGGUGCCCGUACCGCAAACCGACACAGGUAGUCAAGAUGAGAAUUCUAAGGUGAGCGAGCGAACUCUCGUUAAGGAACUCGGCAAAAUGACCCCGUAACUUCGGGAGAAGGGGUGCUCUUUAGGGUGCAAGCCCAGAAGAGCCGCAGUGAAUAGGCCCAAGCGACUGUUUAUCAAAAACACAGGUCUCUGCUAAACCGUAAGGUGAUGUAUAGGGGCUGACGCCUGCCCGGUGCUGGAAGGUUAAGAGGAGU
Molecule: ribosomal RNA, 375 nt
Filed under: Staphylococcus haemolyticus
Lineage: Bacteria; Bacillati; Bacillota; Bacilli; Caryophanales; Staphylococcaceae
Description: bacterial LSU rRNA
Rfam family: Bacterial large subunit ribosomal RNA
Source: RNAcentral